GGCGGUGGCGGCUAUGGUGGCGGCGGAUAUGGUGGUGGACGUGGUGGUGGUGGAGGCUAUGGUGGCGGCGGAUAUAGUGGAUAUGGCAAGUAAAAAAGAACAGUACAAGAAGAAGCAGCUACAUUCCACUAACAACAUAUUUGGAAUUAUCUCUUAUUUUUAUCAAUAGACUGUGACGCCUCUUGUAAAUAAAGUUACAAUAUAAAUCCCA
This is a long non-coding RNA of Homarus americanus (American lobster), 211 nucleotides long. RefSeq lists it as uncharacterized. NCBI's taxonomy places the organism in Eukaryota, Metazoa, Arthropoda, Malacostraca, Decapoda, Nephropidae. The transcript is spliced from 2 exons. The record is from RefSeq and is a predicted model, not a curated record.